GACGAACGCUGGCGGCGUGCCUAAUACAUGCAAGUCGAACGCAGUGGGGACGGGUGAGUAACACGUGGGUAACCUCCCAUCAGAGGGGAUAACACUUGGAAACAGGUGCUAAACCGAUACUGAUGGAUGGACCCGCGGUGCAUUAGCUAGUUGGUGAGGUAACGGCUCACCAAGGCCACGAUGCAUAGCCGACCUGAGAGGAUGAUCAGCCACACUGGGACUGAGACACGGCCCAGACUCCUACGGGAGGCAGCAGUAGGGAAUCUUCGGCAAUGGGCGCAAGCCUGACCCAGCAAUGCCGCGUGAUUGAAGAAGGUUUUCGGAUUGUAAAGCUCUUUUGUUAGGGAAGCGGUACCUAACCAGAAAGCCACGGCUAACUCCGUGCCAGCCGCCGCGGUAAUUC
Molecule: ribosomal RNA, 403 nt
Filed under: uncultured bacterium
Lineage: Bacteria
Description: partial 16S ribosomal RNA
Rfam family: Bacterial small subunit ribosomal RNA
Source: RNAcentral